GCCUGGGUGGCUCAGUGGUUGAGCCUCUGCCUUGGGCUCAGAUCGUGAUACUGGAGUCGUGGGAUUGAGUCCCACAUCGGGCU
This 83-nucleotide transfer RNA is filed under the name Canis lupus familiaris (dog). It matches the Rfam family "tRNA". From Rfam's summary of the family: Transfer RNA (tRNA) molecules are approximately 80 nucleotides in length. Their secondary structure includes four short double-helical elements and three loops (D, anti-codon, and T loops). Further hydrogen bonds mediate the characteristic L-shaped molecular structure. tRNAs have two regions of fundamental functional importance: the anti-codon, which is responsible for specific mRNA codon recognition, and the 3' end, to which the tRNAs corresponding amino acid is attached (by aminoacyl-tRNA synthetases). tRNAs cope with the degeneracy of the genetic code in two manners: having more than one tRNA (with a specific anti-codon) for a particular amino acid; and 'wobble' base-pairing, i.e. permitting non-standard base-pairing at the 3rd anti-codon position. The record is from Rfam by way of RNAcentral. RNAcentral also lists the same sequence under 1 other name. Lineage: Eukaryota; Metazoa; Chordata; Mammalia; Carnivora; Canidae.